This 253-nucleotide ribosomal RNA is filed under the name uncultured bacterium. Its description in RNAcentral is "partial 16S ribosomal RNA". It matches the Rfam family "Bacterial small subunit ribosomal RNA", at positions 524 to 776 of the family's 1533-position model. The record is from RNAcentral.
CACGUAGGGGACGAGCGUUGUCCGGAUUCAUUGGGCGUAAAGCGCGCGUAGGCGGCUCGGAAAGUCGGGCGUGAAAUGCCGGGGCUCAACCCCGGGACUGCGUCCGAUACUGGCGGGCUUGAAUCCGGGAGAGGGAUGUGGAAUUCCAGGUGUAGCGGUGAAAUGCGUAGAUAUCUGGAGGAACACCGGUGGCGAAGGCGGCAUCCUGGACCGGUAUUGACGCUGAGGCGCGAAAGCUAGGGGAGCAAACGGG